GAGAUUGGAGAGAGGACACACUCCUGGUCAUGACCAUGGAUGCCAAAAUGCAAUCGAUCGAAGCAAACUCGGAAACGAUAUACGGCUCUAACCAUUGGUCCACUGCUCGGAUCUUAAAGUUGUGUCGAAAGUUUUUGCACAUAGGAGCGCAUGUCCUUAAGAGGAAAAUAAUUAAAUUAAAGUUGACCUUGCUGUUUAGAGUAGAACAAGGCUAGGUCGAUGCUAGCUGUUUUUGUUGUGGGGAUUA
This 247-nucleotide long non-coding RNA is filed under the name Setaria viridis. Its description in RNAcentral is "long non-coding RNA (SVIR_LNC011347)". Lineage: Eukaryota; Viridiplantae; Streptophyta; Magnoliopsida; Poales; Poaceae. The record is from RNAcentral.